AUCAGCUGACGAGUCCCAAAUAAGAGGAAACGCACCUCCUGGAU
This 44-nucleotide non-coding RNA is filed under the name Schistosoma mansoni. Lineage: Eukaryota; Metazoa; Platyhelminthes; Trematoda; Strigeidida; Schistosomatidae. The record is from RNAcentral.